UGGGUUGGAACCGUAAUAUGUCGGGAGUGC
Molecule: non-coding RNA, 30 nt
Filed under: Rattus norvegicus (Norway rat)
Lineage: Eukaryota; Metazoa; Chordata; Mammalia; Rodentia; Muridae
Source: RNAcentral